CCAACGACUAUGAUGCGUACAUGUGUUUAGAUGAUUGGCUGCUACGCCAAAUUUAGUUAAAAGUUUCCUUCUCUUCACAACUUCAUCUUCAUAUUCUUCAAACCCAAAAUUCUAGUUAAACAAGUGAGUAAGAGGGGAGGUUGAGGGCAGAAAAUAGUAGAGAGAGGGAGAGAGAGAGUGUGACGCACCAAAAUAGAGUAUACGUUCUGUGUGUGUAACAGAGGGGGGAAACUUCUUCUUCUAGCUGAGGUAAGCUGUUUCUUCUUCUUCUAAAUUUUUUUGUUUGUCUCUUUAAUGUCCUACGAUCACUUCGACACAAAAAUCUAGCUCUCAAAUUCUAGCAGCAAGCUCUAGAACCCAACACAGUUGUUGCUACACCUACAUGAUGCCACUGUUCAGGUAAACAUCUGUUCUUCGUCCAAUUAAAAUUCUGUUUCAUGUUUCCUUUAAAAAAUUCGUAGUCAAUCACUAAGAUAUUGUCUUAGGAUUGUUAGGAUUUUAUUUUCGAACGUAAAACAGCUUUUAAACUCAAAAUCUAGCUCAAAAUCAUCACUCUGCUCUAUAAGCACAGCUACUAUGAGUUACAGAGAAGAAUUCUUGAAUUUCCAACAUUUUCUUUAUGCGAUUUAGCUUCUGUCUCGUCCGUUGAAUGGCGUAAGGUGGGUAGAAAUCUUGUUGAUGCAUGAUUUGAGAUUUUUAGAUACAUUUGACGAUUAAACUGCUUGAAUUAAUUUGGUAAUGUUACAUGUGUUAAGCUAAUGUGUGUGCGUCUCAUGAAAUGUGAUUUUUACAAAUUAAAAUUAUAUUUUUGAUGCAUGAAUGAAUACAAUGAAUGGGUGUUGGUGAUUGAUGCUUAGAAAAUAAAGUAGAAAAAAAAUUUCAAGGAAUUGAAUCGAAUGGUUCUGUCACAAGCAUGCGGCACCAAGUUGAUGUUGCUGCUGGGGAUGUACUGUUCUGUAGCUUGAGAGCAUGCAUGGGAUGUUUCCAUCCAGAAUAGUUUAGAAAUGCCCCUCAGGCAAUGGCUGAGUUAGAAGAAAAAGGAAAUUUAUAAAAUUUGGGAUUAUGGAAAUUAUUUGAGAUAAAAUGGGUCAAUUAGUAAGGAUGAAUGGUUUAAAUUCAAAUGGAAAGAUAAAAACUAAAUCACUUAAUAAAUAAUUAAAUUCUCUUAGUAAUAUUAGGAUUUAAAUAUAAAAAUAAGGAAAUUCACAAAUUAUAAAAUAAACUAAAAUAUUAAGAAGAAUUAAGAUUUUAAUUUUAUGGACUUACAAUAAAAUUUAUGAAUUUAAGGAAAAAUAAUGAAAUUUAAGAAUUUAACUAAAUAAAAUAAAAGUAAAAAAUUUAAAUAAACAUAGAAUUUGGUUUAAAUUUGAUUCACCGUAUUUGUUUUGAGGAGUAUUUGGUUUGUUUAUUUGUUCAAGAGCCCCUAUGUUAUGGGUGCUAGUUUUGGUUCUUUAAUGGUUCAUGUAGGUUCAAUUGUCCUUAAGGACUCUAGACAAUUUGAUAUUCAUGUUCUGGGGCCCAAGGGCAUAAAUGAUGGCGACAUGGAGAGACUUGAGAGAAUUACAUUUGUAUUUGUUAUCUAUGAUUGUAUGUUUGUGAGCAUUUGCGCACCCACUCAUGACUAGUUAGUUAUACUUUUCGCACUCUUUGGAAAUAUGUAUAAGCGGUUGUGCGAGUAGGUUUGUAAUCACUGUACUUUAAAUUAAGAUAAUAACUA
RNAcentral lists this long non-coding RNA (1717 nucleotides) under Carica papaya (papaya). RNAcentral's name for it is "long non-coding RNA (CPAP_LNC015239)". The record is from RNAcentral. Lineage: Eukaryota; Viridiplantae; Streptophyta; Magnoliopsida; Brassicales; Caricaceae.